RNAcentral lists this ribosomal RNA (442 nucleotides) under uncultured bacterium. Its description in RNAcentral is "bacterial SSU rRNA". It matches the Rfam family "Bacterial small subunit ribosomal RNA", at positions 354 to 796 of the family's 1533-position model. The record is from RNAcentral.
GUGGGGAAUCUUGCGCAAUGGCCUAACGGCUGACGCAGCGACGCCGCGUGAGGGAUGACGCUCUUCGGAGUGUAAACCUCUUUUGACCGGAACGAAUUGCCACCAUCAGGUGGCUUGACGGUACCGGUUGAAUAAGCACCGGCUAACUCCGUGCCAGCAGCCGCGGUAAUACGGGGGGUGCGAGCGUUGUCCGGAAUCACUGGGCGUAAAGGGCGCGUAGGUGGCAUGAUAAGGGUGUGGUGAAAGCCCGGGGCUCAACCCCGGGUCUGCCAUGCCGACUGUCACGCUAGAGUACUGUAGGGGCAGGCGGAAUUCCGGGUGUAGCGGUGGAAUGCGUAGAGAUCCGGAGGAAGACCGGUGGCGAAGGCGGCCUGCUGGGCAGUUACUGACACUGAGGCGCGACAGCGUGGGGAGCAAACAGGAUUAGAAACCCUGGUAGUCC